CCUGGGAUAUGGCUCAGUGGUAGAGGACUUGCCUGGCAUGCGUGAGGCCUUGGUCCGAUCCCCAGUGCAGGG
Molecule: transfer RNA, 72 nt
Filed under: Marmota monax (woodchuck)
Lineage: Eukaryota; Metazoa; Chordata; Mammalia; Rodentia; Sciuridae
Description: tRNA.Ala
Source: RNAcentral